Molecule: ribosomal RNA, 253 nt
Filed under: uncultured prokaryote
Description: partial 16S ribosomal RNA
Rfam family: Bacterial small subunit ribosomal RNA
Source: RNAcentral
AACGUAGGAGCCAAGCGUUAUCCGAAUUCACUGGGCGUAAAGCGCGUGCAGGCGGUCUGGUAAGUUGGAUGUGAAAUCUCCUGGCUCAACUGGGAGAGGCCGUUCAAGACUGUCAGACUAGAGGGCGACAGAGGGAGGUGGAAUUCCGGGUGUAGUGGUGAAAUGCGUAGAUAUCCGGAGGAACACCAGAGGCGAAGGCGACCUCCUGGGUCGCACCUGACGCUGAGAUGCGAAAGCUAGGGGAGCGAACGGG